GUUUUAAGGAUAAGACACUAUUAGGAUAGGAUACUUGGUUUUCUCCGCAUUCUAAGCGGGCGUAGAGGAAGCUAAGGAAGGAGUCAAACAGAGCCUUAGGCCGUUCUAGCCUCCAGAGCGGCCUUGGGCCGCAACCGGCAUGGCUGGGGCCGACCUAGAGGCCCGAGUUCUCAAUAACUACCAAGAACCCUAGGUCUCCCACACCGACUCCUCAAGAGCCGCUACUCGUCCGACCGCAGCCUCGAGGUGGCCAACGCCUCCAGCGGUACCCUCCACGACACGAGGCGCGACCAUAGUACGCCGGACCAAGAGAAGAGCGUCGAGCGGCACCGGUAUCACGGGGCGGAGGAGGGUAGGUAGAGGGAGGAGCGGUACGAGGGGCAGCGUCCAAACCAUAAGGACCGCCGAUAAGACCACCCGUCCAAGACCUCCUCCAAGUAGCCUCACCGGCGCAGCCGCGGCGACAAGCACGACAAGUUGCACGACAAAAACACCCCGCAGAUGGAUAAGCAGUAGGCCUCUCUAUGGAGAAGAGAUGAUCUGUACGACUAAUUACGACUCACACGUGACGAAGACACCCCUGAAAUGUCCUAAGAAAGACCACUAGGGCCGUAACAACGUAUGCUUAGAAGUAAAAACCUUCUCCGACCGACGUUCCUAAAGCACCUACGAUAUACGAGCUCACUCUUCAUAGGUAGUGAGAGUUCCCACUCCGUAACAUUGACAACGUUUCGUUUACAAUCUCCAAUACUGGUGGUAACGGGACGUAAACCAUUAACGUAUCCUGUCUUUUUAGUAUCCGAUAAAUACCGUGAAAACUGUCCUAAACAACAACGACUUAGCUGUAUAUGUUACACAAGUUGAUUUAUAUAUUGAUCAACGUAUUGGAGUCCUUGAAAUUCUUGACUCUUAGUAAACAGAGAUUUGUACCACUAGCCGUGUUACGAGAAGAGUCAGGAGGUUCACUAUACCGUCCAACACAAGGACUAUACCGUACACAUGCCGUAGACGAAGUUGUAGUCCUGCCUACUCACCCAUUACAGUUUAAAGGGUACGAAACCUGAGAAAGAAGUGGUUAACGUCCAGCAGAAGAGCAAACGACAAAGAAUAUCGAUUCUCCACUCUAAAUAGGUCUAUUUGACCUUCUUUAUAGGACUUAAGGUUUACUUCCUUGUCGGAGUCAGUCUAAAACUUCAGUUCAAACAGUUAGGUAUGCUGUUUCCGUACGAAACAUUGUAAUCCCUCAAGGACUUCGGCUUUAUUAUGUUCAUAUUAGAUUUUGCGUGGCUCUGGCCUCUUGUGGGUGAGUUCUAAGGACUUCUAUAAAAAACGGACAAUGACAUGGUGACUAAGUAUAAGUAACCAAACACAUAGUAAACCUGACACCGUCAAGUCUCAGACAGAAUUAUGCUCGUUAAUUGUAAAAAACUUUUAGGAGCAACUUACGAUAGACGUACGACUACUUACGGCGCAGCGACGUUUACACUAAAUCCGUGGGCGUGUUCAUACCACUAGUCAAGUAGUCAUACCGUUAGUCCGAUAUAAUGACGUUUACCAUGAUAAUGUAGAGUAACAAAACUCGCGAUGUGGAAACUCGUCCGUGAUCGCUAACCGUUACGUGACCUUUGACUAUAUGUACGUUAAUACGUUCCCUACCGCAACCGAUAUGUUGUAAAGUGAGACAGGUUAGACAAAGUUCACUCCGGAAUAACAGAUAGUCCUUGUCUCAACUAACCAGUAGAGCACCGACUUUAGUUCUUCAACUACUCUCUGUCCCUCAAAUAAAGAGUCUACAACUAAUCCUAAUUUUAUCUCAACGGUUGGCAAACCGUUUGAUAUCAGCAUAUC
This 1848-nucleotide ribosomal RNA is filed under the name Triticum aestivum (bread wheat). RNAcentral's name for it is "partial small subunit ribosomal RNA". The record is from RNAcentral. Lineage: Eukaryota; Viridiplantae; Streptophyta; Magnoliopsida; Poales; Poaceae.